Molecule: ribosomal RNA, 349 nt
Filed under: uncultured eukaryote
Lineage: Eukaryota
Description: SSU rRNA
Rfam family: Eukaryotic small subunit ribosomal RNA
Source: RNAcentral
AUAGCGUAUAUUAAAGUUGUUGCAGUUAAAAAGCUCGUAGUCGACUUUCGGCCUCAGCCAACCGGUCCGCUCACUGAGUGUGUACUGGAUUUGGUUGGGGCUUUACCUCCUGGUGAGCUGGCAUGGCCUUUAUUGGUUGUGUCAGGGAACCCGGAAUUUUACUUUGAAUAAAUCAGAGUGUUCAAAGCAGGCAUGUUUGCCCGAAUGUUACAGCAUGGAAUAAUAGAAUAGGAUGUGUGCCUCUAUUGGUCUUUUAGAGGCACCUUAAUGAGAAAUAGGGGCGGCUCGGGGGCAUUUGUAUUCAAUUGCUAGAGGUGAAAUUCUUGGAUUUAUUGAAGACAAACUAUUG